GCGGUGGAUGAUGUGGAUUAAUUCGAUGCAACGCGAAAACCUUACACCCUUGACAUGUCCGGAAUCCCGAAGAGAUUUGGGAGUGCUCGCAAGGAGAACCGGAACACAGGUGCUGCAUGGCUGUCGUCAGCUCGUGUCGUGAGAUGUUGGGUUAAGUCCCGCAACGAGCCGCAACCCUUGUCAUUAGUUGCCAUCAUUUGGUUGGGCACUCUAAUGAGACUGCCGGUGACAACCGGAGGAAGGUGGGGAUGACGUCAAGUCCUCAUGGCCCUUAUGGGUAGGGCUUCACACGUCAUACAAUGGUCGGUACAGAGGGUUGCCAACCCGCGAGGGGGAGCUAAUCCCACAAAGCCGAUCGUAGUCCGGAUCGCAGUCUGCAACUCGACUGCGUGAAGUCGGAAUCGCUAGUAAUCGUGGAUCAGCAUGUCACGGUGAAUACCGUUCCCGGGUCUU
RNAcentral lists this ribosomal RNA (453 nucleotides) under uncultured Rhodocyclaceae bacterium. RNAcentral describes it as "bacterial SSU rRNA". It matches the Rfam family "Bacterial small subunit ribosomal RNA", at positions 929 to 1382 of the family's 1533-position model. Lineage: Bacteria; Pseudomonadati; Pseudomonadota; Betaproteobacteria; Rhodocyclales; Rhodocyclaceae. The record is from RNAcentral.